This 253-nucleotide ribosomal RNA is filed under the name uncultured bacterium. RNAcentral's name for it is "partial 16S ribosomal RNA". It matches the Rfam family "Bacterial small subunit ribosomal RNA", at positions 524 to 776 of the family's 1533-position model. The record is from RNAcentral.
UACGUAGGGUGCAAGCGUUAUCCGGAAUCACUGGGUGUAAAGGGUGUGUAGGCGGAUUUGUGCGUCAGAGGUUAAAUACCCAGGCUUAACUUGGGAAAUGCCUUUGAUACGGCAAGUCUUGAGUAUGAGAGAGGAAGAUGGAAUUCCUGGUGUAGAAGUGAAAUUCGUAGAUAUCAGGAGGAACACCGGUGGCGAAGGCGGUCUUCUGGCUCAUUACUGACGCUGAGGCACGAAAGCGUGGGGAUCAAACAGG